AAGUGGAACAACAUCAAUGGAUAAUUCAGUUUUUCCUCAUCAGACAUAACGAUUAAACAGGCGCCGUGUGAUCGCGACGUCUCAACCAGGAUCCAGUAAAUCCGAUGUGUAUUUUUUUACUGAGUAUCAGAAAGAUGUUAUCGCUGAAUAUUACCGUGAAAUGACACAAAGUGUUGGCUUGAACACAUCAUCAAAAUGCUGAUUCCAGUACGCUUAGCUGCGGCAAUAUACACAUGCUAGGAUUUCACGAGUGAUUGAGCAAUAUGGCUUCUGGUACAUCUUCCCUGGACAGCGCUGGGAGUAGCGAUGGCGCACUUAACAUAGCUGUGAGCAUACUAUGAAAGAG
RNAcentral lists this long non-coding RNA (346 nucleotides) under Neodiprion pinetum (white pine sawfly). Its description in RNAcentral is "uncharacterized LOC124222055". The record is from RNAcentral. Lineage: Eukaryota; Metazoa; Arthropoda; Insecta; Hymenoptera; Diprionidae.